This 273-nucleotide long non-coding RNA is filed under the name Phaseolus vulgaris (common bean). RNAcentral's name for it is "long non-coding RNA (PVUL_LNC003777)". The record is from RNAcentral. Lineage: Eukaryota; Viridiplantae; Streptophyta; Magnoliopsida; Fabales; Fabaceae.
UCUCUUCUCUCUUUGAUCGUGGCAACAAAUUCUCGAGGAGGCGUAGUCAUUUUUCUUUGCAACAAUUGACAAAUCAUGAGUCAAAAUGCUUUCGUAAUGAUUUGAGAAAGUUCUGAUGAUAAUAAGCCAUGGCCCAUUUGCCAAGAGAGAGAUCAACUCCAACCAAGUUCCACUCAUCGAUGCCAUUUGUACCUCAAUAAAUUCAUAUCCUAUCAACCAACAAACCAUUUCUACAUGUUCUACAAUCUACAAACCUCAUUUAUUUCGAUUCAU